UAUAACUAAGGAGGAUUACAUUAGAGGGGUUUUAAGUUUUCUGAAUUUUGCUUUUGCUAACUCAUCCGAAAAUGGUAUGUUUCUUUGUAUGACUUGUAUGGGAACCAAGAAUCUUCCGAGGCUAAUUCAUGAGAUGACAACGAAGGCUAUAGGAGUGCAACCUUCUCGAGCUGAAAUUUAUAUUGAAACCCGAACUCGAAAAGACGGCAGCAUUGUGACUGAAAAGGCAGCUUCAACAAUUGUAAGAUAUAUUUAUUUAGAGUAAGGAACUGUGUAAAAUUUCAUGAAAGGUAUACUAUCUACUAACUUGCUUAAGUAUAGUUUCCUUGUAACUAAUAACUUGAACCUUACUUGGAUUAUAAGAAGAAAAUUCACUGUAAUUUUGGCCAAAUGAAUUUCCUCACUGUAAAUUCUCCAAGAAAGAAAGAGGUGGUAUGAUAUUCUUCAAGAAAGAUGUUGUGCAUGGAGUUGAUCUGGAGUUUGCCAUUAACAAUGCUAUUUUUCCUGGUCUACAGGGGGGGUUCUCGUAACCACACAAUUGGAGGACUAGCAGUUUGCUUGAAGUAUGCUUAAUCUCCAGAUUUUAAAAAUUACCAAAACCAGGUGGUUGCUAACUGUAGAGCUCUUACUAACUACUUGGUUGAGCAUGGAUAUAAACUGGUUUCUGGUGGUAGUGAUAAUCACCUGGUUCUUGUUGAUCUGAGGCCAUCAAUAAGCUUGUUGCUCUUUUCUUUGUCAAUAUAAUGAUAGUUCUGUCUUGGCUUCCCCUCCCCAAUCUUUUACUAGUCAAUUAUUAAUAGAUAUCUCUCUCAAAUGUAAGUCUGAUAUUAUGCUAUUGUGUAGUAUAUUGCCUUAAGAUUAUUAGUUUAGUUCCACAUUCAAGUUAUAAAAUUUAAAAGCAAGCAUUUGUUUUGAUUUCUGUGCAGGAAGUAUUUGGGCCGGUUUGGGAUACUAUCGGAGAGCUCGUUUUCUUUUAUA
Molecule: long non-coding RNA, 978 nt
Organism: Medicago truncatula (barrel medic)
Lineage: Eukaryota; Viridiplantae; Streptophyta; Magnoliopsida; Fabales; Fabaceae
Exons: 4
Source: RefSeq, a predicted model, not a curated record